RNAcentral lists this ribosomal RNA (610 nucleotides) under Arthrobacter luteolus. RNAcentral describes it as "bacterial SSU rRNA". It matches the Rfam family "Bacterial small subunit ribosomal RNA", at positions 65 to 684 of the family's 1533-position model. The record is from RNAcentral. Lineage: Bacteria; Bacillati; Actinomycetota; Actinomycetes; Micrococcales; Micrococcaceae.
AACGAUGACUUCUGUGCUUGCACAGAAUGAUUAGUGGCGAACGGGUGAGUAACACGUGAGUAACCUGCCCUUAACUUCGGGAUAAGCCUGGGAAACUGGGUCUAAUACCGGAUACGACCACCUGGCGCAUGCCAUGGUGGUGGAAAGCUUUAUGCGGUUUUGGAUGGACUCGCGGCCUAUCAGCUUGUUGGUGGGGUAAUGGCCCACCAAGGCGACGACGGGUAGCCGGCCUGAGAGGGUGACCGGCCACACUGGGACUGAGACACGGCCCAGACUCCUACGGGAGGCAGCAGUGGGGAAUAUUGCACAAUGGGCGAAAGCCUGAUGCAGCGACGCCGCGUGAGGGAUGACGGCCUUCGGGUUGUAAACCUCUUUCAGCAGGGAAGAAGCGAAAGUGACGGUACCUGCAGAAGAAGCGCCGGCUAACUACGUGCCAGCAGCCGCGGUAAUACGUAGGGCGCAAGCGUUAUCCGGAAUUAUUGGGCGUAAAGAGCUCGUAGGCGGUUUGUCGCGUCUGCUGUGAAAGCCCGGGGCUCAACCCCGGGUCUGCAGUGGGUACGGGCAGACUAGAGUGCAGUAGGGGAGACUGGAAUUCCUGGUGUAGCGGUGA